Molecule: ribosomal RNA, 406 nt
Filed under: uncultured bacterium
Lineage: Bacteria
Description: partial 16S ribosomal RNA
Rfam family: Bacterial small subunit ribosomal RNA
Source: RNAcentral
AUUGAACGCUGGCGGCAGGCCUAACACAUGCAAGUCGAACGAGUGGCGGACGGGUGAGUAAUGUCUGGGAAACUGCCCGAUGGAGGGGGAUAACUACUGGAAACGGUAGCUAAUACCGCAUACCAUCGGAUGUGCCCAGAUGGGAUUAGCUAGUAGGUGGGGUAACGGCUCACCUAGGCGACGAUCCCUAGCUGGUCUGAGAGGAUGACCAGCCCCACUGGGACUGAGAGACGGUCCAGACGCCUACGGGAGGAGGCAGUGGGGAAUAUUGCAAAAUGGGCGCAAGCCUGCUGCAACCAUGCCGCGUGUAUGAAGAAGGCCUUCGGGUUGUAAAGUACUUUCAGCGAGGAGGCGUUACUCGCAGAAGAAGCACCGGCUAACUCCGUGCCAGCAGCCGCGGUAAUAC